CGCGUCCUACGGGAGGCAGCAGUGGGGGAUAUUGCACAAUGGGGGAAACCCUGAUGCAGCGACGCCGCGUGGGCGAAGAAGUAUUUCGGUAUGUAAAGCCCUAUCAGCAGGGAAGAAGAAAUGACGGUACCUGAGUAAGAAGCACCGGCUAAACACGUGCCAGCAGCCGCGGUAAUACGUAUGGUGCAAGCGUUAUCCGGAUUUACUGGGUGUAAAGGGAGCGCAGGCGGCACGGCAAGCCUGAUGUGAAAGCCCGCGGCCCAACCGCGGGACUGCAUUGGGAACUACCGGGAUGGAGUGACGGG
Molecule: ribosomal RNA, 305 nt
Filed under: uncultured bacterium
Lineage: Bacteria
Description: bacterial SSU rRNA
Rfam family: Bacterial small subunit ribosomal RNA
Source: RNAcentral